RNAcentral lists this ribosomal RNA (460 nucleotides) under uncultured bacterium. Its description in RNAcentral is "partial 16S ribosomal RNA". It matches the Rfam family "Bacterial small subunit ribosomal RNA", at positions 338 to 795 of the family's 1533-position model. The record is from RNAcentral.
CCUACGGGUGGCAGCAGUGAGGAAUAUUGGUCAAUGGGCGCGAGCCUGAACCAGCCAAGUAGCGUGAAGGAUGACUGCCCUACGGGUUGUAAACCUCUUUUACCAAGGAAUAAAGUGAGGCACGUGUGCCUUCUUGUAUGUACCUCAUGAAUAAGGCACGGCUUACUCCCGGCCAGCCGCCGCGGUAAUACGGAGGAACCGAGCGUUAUUCGGAUUUAUUGGGUUUAAAGGGAGCGUAGAUGGGUCGUUAAGUCAGUUGUGAAAGUUUGCGGCUCAACCGUAGAAUUGCAAUUGAUACUGGCAGCCUUGAGUACGGUUGAGGAAGGCGGAAUUCGUGGUGUAGCGGUGAAAUGCUUAGAUAUCACGAAGAACUCCGAUUGCGAAGGCAGCUUACUAAACUGCCACUGACAUUGAUGCUCGAAAGUGUGGGUAUCAAACAGGAUUAGAUACCCUUGUAGUC